Molecule: ribosomal RNA, 465 nt
Filed under: uncultured bacterium
Lineage: Bacteria
Description: partial 16S ribosomal RNA
Rfam family: Bacterial small subunit ribosomal RNA
Source: RNAcentral
CCUACGUGAGGCAGCAGUGGGGAAUAUUGCGCAAUGGGCGAAAGCCUGACGCAGCGACGCCGCGUGAGGGAUGAAGGUCUUCGGAUCGUAAACCUCUGUCAGCAGGGAAGAACGGUCACUGUGCUAAUCAGCAGUGAAUUGACGGUACCUGCAAAGGAAGCACCGGCUAACUCCGUGCCAGCAGCCGAGGUAAUACGGAGGGUGCGAGCGUUAAUCGGAAUUACUGGGCGGAAAGCGCUCGUAGGCGGUAUGUCAAGUCAAGGGUGAAAUCCCCGCGCUCAACGUGGGAACUGCCUGUGAAACUGGCAAACUGGAGUGUGUGAGAGGAUAGUGGAAUUCCAGGUGUAGGAGUGAAAUCCGUAGAUAUCUGGAGGAACAUCAGUGGCGAAGGCGACUAUCUGGCACAUAACUGACGCUGAGGAGCGAAAGCGUGGGUAGCAAACAGGAUUAGAUACCCUAGUAGUC